RNAcentral lists this ribosomal RNA (488 nucleotides) under uncultured Bacillota bacterium. RNAcentral's name for it is "bacterial SSU rRNA". It matches the Rfam family "Bacterial small subunit ribosomal RNA", at positions 28 to 524 of the family's 1533-position model. Lineage: Bacteria; Bacillati; Bacillota. The record is from RNAcentral.
GAUGAACGCUGGCGGCGUGCCUAACACAUGCAAGUCGAACGGACGAAACUGGUUGCUUGCAACCGGUCAAGUUAGUGGCGGACGGGUGAGUAACACGUGGGCAACCUACCUUAUGCAGGGGAAUAACAUUGAGAAAUCAGUGCUAAAACUCCGUAAGCUUAUUUCGCCGCAUGGCGAGGUGAGGAAAUAUUUAUAGGCAUAAGAUGGGCCCGCGUCUGAUUAGUUAGUUGGUGGGUAAAGGCCUACCAAGACGAUGAUCAGUAGCCGACCUGAGAGGGUGAUCGGCCACAUUGGGACUGAGACACGGCCCAAACUCCUACGGGAGGCAGCAGUGGGGGAAUAUUGCACAAUGGGGGAAACCCUGAUGCAGCAACGCCGCGUGAAGGAAGACGGUUUUCGGAUUGUAAACUUCUAUCGACAGGGAAGAUAAUGACGGUACCUGAAUAAGAAGCCCCGGCUAACUACGUGCCAACAGCAGCCGCCGUAAC